Molecule: unclassified non-coding RNA, 250 nt
Filed under: uncultured Eurotiomycetes
Lineage: Eukaryota; Fungi; Ascomycota; Eurotiomycetes
Description: sequence contains ITS2
Rfam family: 5.8S ribosomal RNA (bases 1-52)
Source: RNAcentral
AACGCACAUUGCGCCCUUUGGUAUUCCGAAGGGCAUGCCUGUUCGAGCGUCAUUAUCACCUCUCAAGCCCGGCUUGCUGUUGGAUCAUUCAUCGUCAUUGAUGGGUCCGAAAGAUAAUGGCGGAGUCGUGUUCGAUCCCCGGUGCAACGAGCCUGUCGGCACGCACGGUGGUGGUCGGGCCGGCCCGGUCUUAACCCCAAUCUCACCUAAGAUUGACCUCGGAUCAGGUAGGAAUACCCGCUGAACUUAA